UGUUUAUUUGUGGCACCAGUCUGGAUCUACUGUGGUUCUGUUGGGUCUCAGCUUGUUGUUCAGAUUUUCUUCAUCAACUCUUUGGAUCAUUUGAACAAACUGUGAAGCUAGAAAGUGUGUGUGAGCUGAUGUGGAUUCAGCAGCAUGGAUCAGUGUGAGGACAGAGAGGAGGGAGUCCCUCCCUCUAAAACCACUCUGUGUGGGGAAGAUGAGAGCCAGAGCAAAGGUCAGAGGAUCCAUCAGAGACACAAACCAGAACCAGAACCAGAGCCAGAACCAGAACCAGAACCAGAACCAGAACCAGAACCAGAACCAGAACCCAGCUGUGUGUCUUUUAAGAGUGACAGGUCAAUGGGUCGUCCCAUUUACUUUAAAUGUCCUG
Molecule: long non-coding RNA, 382 nt
Organism: Poeciliopsis prolifica (blackstripe livebearer)
Lineage: Eukaryota; Metazoa; Chordata; Actinopteri; Cyprinodontiformes; Poeciliidae
Exons: 3
Source: RefSeq, a predicted model, not a curated record